This 602-nucleotide ribosomal RNA is filed under the name uncultured bacterium. RNAcentral's name for it is "bacterial SSU rRNA". It matches the Rfam family "Bacterial small subunit ribosomal RNA", at positions 9 to 605 of the family's 1533-position model. The record is from RNAcentral.
GAGUUUGAUCCUGGCUCAGAUUGAACGCUGGCGGCAGGCCUAACACAUGCAAGUCGAACGGAAACAUGUCUAGCUUGCUGGAUGAUGUCGAGUGGCGGACGGGUGAGUAAUGCCUGGGAAUCUGCCUUUGUGUGGGGGAUAACCAUUGGAAACGAUGGCUAAUACCGCAUGAUGCCUACGGGCCAAAGGGGGGACUUGUUCCUCCCGCGCAAAGAGGAGCCCAGGUGAGAUUAGCUAGUUGGUAGGGUAAAGGCCUACCAAGGCGACGAUCUCUAGCUGUUCUGAGAGGAAGAUCAGCCACACUGGAACUGAGACACGGUCCAGACUCCUACGGGAGGCAGCAGUGGGGAAUAUUGCACAAUGGGCGAAAGCCUGAUGCAGCCAUGCCGCGUGUGUGAAGAAGGCCUUCGGGUUGUAAAGCACUUUCAGUUGUGAGGAAAGGUUGGUGGUUAAUACCCAUUAGCUGUGACGUUAGCAACAGAAGAAGCACCGGCUAACUCCGUGCCAGCAGCCGCGGUAAUACGGAGGGUGCAAGCGUUAAUCGGAAUUACUGGGCGUAAAGCGCACGCAGGCGGUUUGUUAAGCUAGAUGUGAAAGCCCCG